UUCAAAGGAGGAAAGGCUUACGGUGG
RNAcentral lists this ribosomal RNA (26 nucleotides) under Oenothera lamarckiana. RNAcentral's name for it is "partial 23S ribosomal RNA". Lineage: Eukaryota; Viridiplantae; Streptophyta; Magnoliopsida; Myrtales; Onagraceae. The record is from RNAcentral.